This 477-nucleotide ribosomal RNA is filed under the name uncultured Treponema sp. RNAcentral describes it as "bacterial SSU rRNA". It matches the Rfam family "Bacterial small subunit ribosomal RNA", at positions 29 to 495 of the family's 1533-position model. The record is from RNAcentral. Lineage: Bacteria; Pseudomonadati; Spirochaetota; Spirochaetia; Treponematales; Treponemataceae.
AACGAACGCUGGCGGCGCGUCUUAAGCAUGCAAGUCGAGCGGCAAGGGGGAGCAAUCCCUCCUAGAGCGGCGGACUGGUGAGUAACGCGUGGGUGACCUACCCUAAGGUUGGGGAUAGCCAUUAGAAAUAGUGGGUAAUACCGAAUAUGGUUGCGGGACUAUGGUUCUGCAAAGAAAGGGGCUUCGGCCCCGCCUUGGGAUGGGCCCGCGUCCCAUUAGCUAGUUGGUGAGGUAAGAGCCCACCAAGGCGAUGAUGGGUAGCCGGCCUGAGAGGGUGAACGGCCACACUGGGACUGAGAUACGGCCCAGACUCCUACGGGAGGCAGCAGCUAAGAAUAUUCCGCAAUGGACGAAAGUCUGACGGAGCGACGCCGCGUGGAUGACGAAGGCCGAAAGGUUGUAAAAUCCUUUUGUUACUGAAGAAUAAGGCGGGGAGGGAAUGCCCUGCUGAUGACGUUAGGUAACGAAUAAGCCCCG